ACCCCUGACUUUAAUUACAGGGAGACUCCGCACAGAUCCCUACGGGAGCUGGGCUUCAUCCCCGACUCCGACUGCAGACGGACCUCGUCCGGACUCCGCCCACAACUCCGAUCGCAAGCAGACUCCACCUGGACUCCUACGGGAGCCGGGCUCCGUCACCAACUUCAACCGCUGGUAAGCUUCGUUCGGAUUCCUACGAGAGCCAGACUUUGCCCCUGACUUUAAUUGCAGGC
RNAcentral lists this long non-coding RNA (233 nucleotides) under Elaeis guineensis (African oil palm). RNAcentral's name for it is "long non-coding RNA (EGUI_LNC071577)". Lineage: Eukaryota; Viridiplantae; Streptophyta; Magnoliopsida; Arecales; Arecaceae. The record is from RNAcentral.